Molecule: unclassified non-coding RNA, 234 nt
Filed under: plant metagenome
Description: partial contains small subunit ribosomal RNA, internal transcribed spacer 1, and 5.8S ribosomal RNA
Source: RNAcentral
UUUCCGUAGGUGAACCUGCGGAAGGAUCAUUACAGUAGUCACCCAGGUUGCCGCAAGGCCUCCUGGGUAACCUACCACCCUUUGUUUAUUACACUUUGUUGCUUUGGCAAGACUACCCUCGGGCUGCUGGCUCCGGCCGGCGAGCGCUUGCCAGAGGACCUAAACUCUGUUUGUCUAUACUGUCUGAGUACUAUAUAAUAGUUAAAACUUUCAACAACGGAUCUCUUGGUUCUG